GACGAACGCUGGCGGCGUGCUUAACACAUGCAAGUCGAACGGAAAGGCCCCUUUGGGGGUACUCGAGUGGCGAACGGGUGAGUAACACAUGAGUAACCUGCCCUUGACUUCGGGAUAACUUCAGGAAACUGGGGCUAAUACCGGAUAGGAAUCCUUGCUGCAUGGUGGGGGUUGGAAAGCUUCGGCGGUUUUGGAUGGACUCGCGGCUUAUCAGCUUGUUGGUGGGGUAGUGGCUUACCAAGGCUUUGACGGGUAGCCGGCCUGAGAGGGCGACCGGCCACAUUGGGACUGAGAUACGGCCCAGACUCCUACGGGAGGCAGCAGUGGGGAAUAUUGCACAAUGGGCGGAAGCCUGAUGCAGCAACGCCGCGUGCGGGAUGACGGCCUUCGGGUUGUAAACCGCUUUCAGCAGGGGCGAAGCUUGUGGUGACGGUACCUGCAGAAGAAGCACCGGCUAACUACGUG
Molecule: ribosomal RNA, 465 nt
Filed under: uncultured bacterium
Lineage: Bacteria
Description: partial 16S ribosomal RNA
Rfam family: Bacterial small subunit ribosomal RNA
Source: RNAcentral